This 253-nucleotide ribosomal RNA is filed under the name uncultured bacterium. RNAcentral describes it as "partial 16S ribosomal RNA". It matches the Rfam family "Bacterial small subunit ribosomal RNA", at positions 524 to 776 of the family's 1533-position model. The record is from RNAcentral.
UACGGAGGGGGCUAGCGUUGUUCGGAAUUACUGGGCGUAAAGCGUACGUAGGCGGUCUAUCAAGUCAGAGGUGAAAGCCCGGGGCUCAACUCCGGAAUUGCCUUUGAAACUGGCAGACUUGAACAUGGGAGAGGUGAGUGGAAUUCCGAGUGUAGAGGUGAAAGUCGUAGAUAUUCGGAGGAACACCAGUGGCGAAGGCGGCUCACUGGACCAUUGUUGACGCUGAGGUACGAAAGCGUGGGGAGCAAACAGG